GGAAGGAUCAUUAACAAACAUUUGAACUAAUAACUAACAGGACUUGAUAGUAGGAGCAAUCCUGCUAUUCCUUGAACUUAACAAUCUAAUCCCAUAAACCAAUCUAUGGUUGACAAAACUUUAAAUUUUCAACGAUGGAUGUCUUGGCUCCCAUAUCGAUGAAGAACGCAGCAAGAAUGCGAUAUGCAAUGUGAAUUGCAGAACCACGAAUCAUCGGAUCUUUGAACGCAACUGGCGCUAGUUUACUAGCAUACUUGUUUCAGUGUGCUUAAACAACUAAACCAACUCAAUGUGAGAGAAUAUCUCUCAUCAAGUACAUGCUCCCUGCAGCAGUCACAUUUAUUUGUGAGCUUCAUGGAAGAAAACCGACUUAUUGUCACCUGAAAUCAAGUAAGAUGACCCGCUGGACUUAAGCAUAUUACUAAGCGGAGGAAAAGAAAUUAACAAAGAUUACCUUAGUAAGGGCUACUGAACCGGUAAAAGCUCGAAAUUGGAAUCGAGGAUUCAAAGAAUCUUCGAAUUGUAAUCAGGUCCGCCGAAAUACGAAAGCUCACUUAAUUAUGUUGAAUCAUAAGCCAAAGAGGGUGAAAGCCCCGUGUAGUGUUCUUUCGAAACAGGGGGAUUAAAAAAGAGUCGGGUUGCUUGGAACUGCAGCCCUAAGUGGGAGAUAUGAAUCUUCCAAAGCUAAAUAAGGAUGGGAGACCGAUAGCGAACAAGUACUGUGAAGGAAAGAUGAAAAGGACUUUGAAAAGAGAGUGAAAAGAUCUGAAAUCGUUGAGAAGGAAGCGGUAGAAACUGAUGGUCGUGCUGAUGGAUAUCGCGGUGAACAACUGCGUCCUUCCUACCAGAGCGACGGGCAAAAUCAAGUUAGAUACAUCAAAAAAGGCUCUGCCGAGUAGGAUGUAACUAGCUUGAGGGACUAAUGUGAUUUUGCCAAAAUGGAUUCUACUGUCCCGUCUUGAAACACGGACCAAGGAGUCUAACCUAUAUGCAAGUGUGCGAGUGGAAAAACUCAUACGCGAAAUGAAAGUGAAAGGUGCGCAGCGCAAGCGGCAGCAUCGACCGACCUAGUAUGAAAGGUUUGAGUAAGAGCAUAUAUGUUAGGACCCGAAAGAUGGUGAACUAUGCCUGAGUAGGGUGAAGUCAGGGGAAACCCUGAUGGAGGCUCGAAGCGUUGUUGACGUGCAAAUCACUCGUCGAACUUGGGUAUAGGGGCGAAAGACUAAUCGAACCAUCUAGUAGCUGGUUCCCUC
This 1253-nucleotide unclassified non-coding RNA is filed under the name uncultured fungus. Its description in RNAcentral is "sequence contains 18S rRNA gene, ITS1, 5.8S rRNA gene, ITS2, 28S rRNA gene". The stretch from base 377 to 1253 matches the Rfam family "Eukaryotic large subunit ribosomal RNA", at positions 1 to 961 of the family's 3401-position model. Lineage: Eukaryota; Fungi. The record is from RNAcentral.